AUCGAACGCUGGCGGAAUGCUUUACACAUGCAAGUCGAACGGCAGCACGGACUUCGGUCUGGUGGCGAGUGGCGAGCGGGUGAGUAAUGUAUCGGAACGUGCUCAGUCGUGGGGGAUAACGUAGUGAAAAUUACGCUAAUACCGCAUACGAUCUAUGGAUGAAAGCGGGGGAUCGCAAGACCUCGCGCGAUUGGAGCGGCCGAUAUCAGAUUAGGUAGUUGGUGGGGUAAAGGCCCACCAAGCCAACGAUCUGUAGCUGGUCUGAGAGGACGACCAGCCACACUGGAACUGAGACACGGUCCAGACUCCUACGGGAGGCAGCAGUGGGGAAUUUUGGACAAUGGGCGAAAGCCUGAUCCAGCCAUUCCGCGUGCAGGAUGAAGGCCCUCGGGUUGUAAACUGCUUUUGUACAGAACGAAAAGGUUUCUACUAAUACUAGGAGCUCAUGACGGUACUGUAAGAAUAAGCACCGGCUAACUACGUGCCAGCCGCCGCAGUAA
Molecule: ribosomal RNA, 500 nt
Filed under: uncultured bacterium
Lineage: Bacteria
Description: partial 16S ribosomal RNA
Rfam family: Bacterial small subunit ribosomal RNA
Source: RNAcentral